UAGUCCAUGCCGUAAACGAUGUCGACUAGCCGUUGGGAUCCUAGCGAUCUUUGUGGCGCAGUUAACGCAAUAAGUCGACCGCCUGGGGAGUACGGCCGCAAGGUUAAAACUCAAAUGAAUUGACGGGGGCCCGCACAAGCGGUGGAGCAUGUGGUUUAAUUCGAUGCAACGCGAAGAACCUUACCUACUCUUGACAUCCUGCGAAUUUGGUAGAGAUACCUUAGUGCCUUCGGGAACGCAGUGACAGGUGCUGCAUGGCUGUCGUCAGCUCGUGUUGUGAAAUGUUGGGUUAAGUCCCGUAACGAGCGCAACCCCUAUCCUUAUUUGCCAGCGAGUAAUGUCGGGAACUCUAAGGAGACUGCCGGUGACAAACCGGAGGAAGGUGGGGAUGACGUCAAGUCAUCAUGGCCCUUACGAGUAGGGCUACACACGUGCUACAAUGGCCGGUACAGAGGGUUGCUAAGCCGCGAGGUGGCGCUAAUCCCAGAAAACCGGUCUCAGUUCGGA
Molecule: ribosomal RNA, 507 nt
Filed under: uncultured bacterium
Lineage: Bacteria
Description: bacterial SSU rRNA
Rfam family: Bacterial small subunit ribosomal RNA
Source: RNAcentral